Molecule: ribosomal RNA, 253 nt
Filed under: uncultured bacterium
Lineage: Bacteria
Description: partial 16S ribosomal RNA
Rfam family: Bacterial small subunit ribosomal RNA
Source: RNAcentral
UACGGAGGGGGCUAGCGUUGUUCGGAAUUACUGGGCGUAAAGCGCACGUAGGCGGCUUUGUAAGUUAGAGGUGAAAGCCCGGAGCUCAACUCCGGAACUGCCUUUAAGACUGCAUCGCUCGAACGUCGGAGAGGUAAGUGGAAUUCCGAGUGUAGAGGUGAAAUUCGUAGAUAUUCGGAAGAACACCAGUGGCGAAGGCGACUAUCUGGACCGUUUCUGACGCUGAGGCGCGAAAGCGUGGGGAGCAAACAGG